RNAcentral lists this long non-coding RNA (2380 nucleotides) under Marmota monax (woodchuck). The record is from RNAcentral. Lineage: Eukaryota; Metazoa; Chordata; Mammalia; Rodentia; Sciuridae.
AGUGACUAGUGGUAUUAAUGAAAUAUUCAUUGUAUUUUUACAGCCAGUAUCUUGAAAAUUAUCUCUGGAUGAAUUAUUCUCCUGAGGUAUCUAGCAAGGCCUAUUUAAUGUCCAUCUGCUGUAUGGUGAAUGAGAAAUUCAGAGAAAAUGUUCCUGCAUGGGAGGUAACAUUUAAAUUACUUCAUGGCUUUUAUACUUUGUCCACUUAAACUGUUACAAAGUAGCAGAACUUUUUACAGACAUUAAAUGUGAUUUUAGAGCAGCACUUUACCCAAUAGUAAACUACUAUUAAGAAAAAGAGUAGACAUGUGAAAGAUAAUAUCAGGCUUUUUUUUUUUAUUACAACACUUCUAAUGUACUGUGAACACUACUAAUUUAUACUUAAAAUUAUAAAUUAAAAGUUAUUUAUAUUUGAAAAAUAUAAAUAUGGAGUUAAUUUUCUGCUUUGCUAGAACUGGAAAAUAACAUAAAUUAUAGAGACAUCAGAAGCUGGGAAAAAGUUAUAUAUUAAUAAGUACAAUUAGACAAUGUUCAAAAGUCAAGACAGUUAGCUUUUUUUUUAUUUUUGAGUUUUCUAUUUAAUAUUUUCAAACUGCUGUUAACCACAGGUAACUAGAACCUAGAAAAUGAAUUUGUGAAUAUUGGGAGACCAUGGUACAGAUUCAGAGGAUAUAGAAGAUUUAGAAAGUAGAAUUGAUCUGAUUUGAUAAUUAGUUAAAGUAGCAUUAGGAAAGGGGAUUAUUUUCAAUAAUUUGCCAAACUUGGGCAACUGAAUAUAAUAGAUGAUGGUGUCAUUCCCAAGAUAGGAAAAUGUGUUGAGGAAUACUUUGGAGGGAAUAACACUGUGCAGUUGAGUUUAGGGCAUUGAGUUUGAAUUGCCUUUGAAUUAUCUAGAUGAAUAUUGUAAUAACUAGAUGAAAUUGCCUGGUAGAGAGAGGAAUCUAAAGAUGUAGCAUUAUGGAGAGAAAUCUGUACUAAAGAUGUAUAUUUACAAUCAUUAAUAUAUCAUAAAGUAAUGUGAGAUGGGGACUAAGAAUGGGAACAUUGCUGUUUAAGUAACAAAAGAAGAGAACCCUUCAGUACAGUGAAAAGGAAUUGAUGCUUGGGUUCAGUGGACUUGGCAGCCAUGAUAGUAUCAAGGGAGUGGUAUUUAUUGAUGAAAGUUUGGUUUAGAGAAGUUAAUGGAAACUAGUGUUGGAGCACACAUUUGGAGCACUUGCCUAUUACAGUAAGUAGAAGGGGAAGUAGAUCAAAGAGAUUUGAAUAUAUUUACAUGUUAAGAAAGAAAAGCAUAUUAUAAAGCAGGAGAAACUGCCCCUGAGAUUAAUUACAGUGUGAAAAUUAAUUUUUGCUAAAGGUGUAGUUUCCUUUGUUCAAAUCAAAGGAAUUAAAAAUACUGCAGAUUCUUAAUAAGAAAACAAACUUAAGCUAAAUACAAGCAUAGUUUGCACAAGAAAAACUAAAAGAAUUAGGGCUGGGGAUGUGGCUCAAGCGGUAGCGCGCUCGCCUGGCAUGAGUGCGGCUCGGGUUCGAUCCUUAGCACCACAUACAAACAAAGAUGUUGUGUCCGCUGAAAACUAAAAAAUAAAUAUUAAAAAAAUUCUCUCUCUCUCUCUCUCUCUCUCUCUCUCUCUCUCUUUAAAAAAAAAAACUAAAAGAAUUAAUGACAUUAUCUUACUAGCUAACAAUUUCUGUAAGUUUCUCCUGUCAGAAACCUGUAUUUGAAUUGCUAUCAUUAAUUAUAAGUAAGCAUGUAAUGCCUCUUUACCCAUAUUUAAAUAAUCUUUUUAUUUUGAUUUUGUUAAGAGAUUCCUAAAAAACUACUGUGUUGCUUUAAGGAACAAAAAUGCAUGAAUAAGCCAGUUCAAAGUGUAUUUAUUCUUCUUAUUUUUAUUUUCAGACUUUUAAGAAGAAGCCAGACCACUUCCCAUUCUUCUUUAAGUGCAUCUUGAAAGCGGCAUUAGCUGAAAAUGAUGGUGAAUUUUCACUCCAUGAACAGACAGUCCUAUUGCUUUUUCUUGAUCAUUGCUUCAAUAGUUUGGUAAUUUUACUUAAUGUUUUAGGGAAGGUUUCAUAUUUUCUUGUUCUUCUAGAUUGAGUUUAGAUGUGAUUAUCUUUGUGGCCAUCUUUUCACACAAAAAUGUGGGGAAUAAAAAUAAUGCUAAAAGCUUGAUUUAAAUCACAUCAAUAAAAUAAUUUUAUAAAUUUUGUUCACUUUUUAGUAGUUUAUACUUAAUCCUUUAUUUUUUAUUAUUGUUCACAUUUUUAGUAGUUUGUACUUGAUCCUUCCUUUAUUUAUUAUGCAGACUUUAAGAAAAAUGAUAAUGAGAGCUGAAAAUUCAAAGGGAGAACACAAAAAUUAGAAACAGCGGAGUCUGAC